AUUGAACGCUGGCGGCAGGCCUAACACAUGCAAGUCGAGCGGAGCGGCGGACGGGUGCGUAAUGCCUAGGAAUCUGCCUGGUAGUGGGGGAUAACGUCCGGAAACGGGCGCUAAUACCGCAUACUAUCAGAUGAGCCUAGCUCGGUUUAGCUAGUUGGUGGGGUAAAGGCCUACCAAGGCGACGAUCCGUCACUGGUCUGAGAGGAUGAUCAGGCACACUGGGACUGAGACACGGUCCAGACUCCUACGGGAGGCAGCAGUGGGGAAUAGUGGACAAUGGGCGAAAGCCUGAUGCAGCCAUGCCGCGUGUGUGAAGAAGGUCUUCGGAUUGUAAAGCACUUUAAGUUGGGAGGCGUUACCAACAGAAGAAGCACCGGCUAACUUCGUGCCAGCAGCCGCGGUAAUAC
RNAcentral lists this ribosomal RNA (407 nucleotides) under uncultured bacterium. RNAcentral describes it as "partial 16S ribosomal RNA". It matches the Rfam family "Bacterial small subunit ribosomal RNA", at positions 30 to 526 of the family's 1533-position model. The record is from RNAcentral.